RNAcentral lists this ribosomal RNA (253 nucleotides) under uncultured bacterium. RNAcentral describes it as "partial 16S ribosomal RNA". It matches the Rfam family "Bacterial small subunit ribosomal RNA", at positions 524 to 776 of the family's 1533-position model. The record is from RNAcentral.
UACGGGGGGUGCAAGCGUUAUUCGGAAUUAUUGGGCGUAAAGGGAGCGUAGGCGGUUGAAUGAGUCAGAUGUGAAAGACCUUGGCUUAACCAAGGGAGUGCAUUUGAUACUAUUUGACUUGAGUAUGGGAGAGGGAAGUGGAAUUCCUGGUGUAGGGGUGAAAUUCGUAGAGAUCAGGAGGAACACCGGUGGCGAAAGCGACUUCCUGGACCAAUACUGACGAUGAGGCGCGAAGGUGUGGGGAGCAAACAGG